RNAcentral lists this ribosomal RNA (440 nucleotides) under uncultured bacterium. Its description in RNAcentral is "partial 16S ribosomal RNA". It matches the Rfam family "Bacterial small subunit ribosomal RNA", at positions 338 to 795 of the family's 1533-position model. The record is from RNAcentral.
CCUACGGGAGGCUGCAGUGAGGAAUAUUGCACAAUGGGGGAAACCCUGAUGCAGCGACGCCGCGUGAGUGAAGAAGUAAUUCGUUAUGUAAAGCUCUAUCAGCAGGGAAGAAAAUGACGGUACCUGAGUAAGAAGCCCCGGCUAACUACGUGCAAGCAGCAGCGGUAAUACGGCGGGGGCAAGCGUUAUCCGGAUUUACUGGGUGUAAAGGGAGCGUAGACGGCAGUGCAGGUCUGGAGUGAAAGGCGGGGGGUCAACCCCCGGACUGCGGUGGAAACCGGACGGCUGGAGUGCAGGAGAGGUAAGUGGAAUGCCUGGUGUAGCGGUGAAAUGCGUAGAUAUUAGGCGGAACACCAGUGGCGAAGGCGGCUUACUGGACUGUAACUGACGUUGAGGCUCGAAAGCGUGGGGAGCAAACAGGAUUAGAUACCCGUGUAGUC